AGUGAACGCUGGCGGCAGGCCUAACACAUGCAAGUCGAACGGCAGCACAGUAAGAGUUUGCUCUUACGGGUGGCGAGUGGCGGACGGGUGAGGUAUAUAUCGGAAUCUACUUUUUCGUGGGGGAUCACGUAGGGAAACUUACGCCAAUAUCGCAUACCAUCUACGGGUGAAAGCAUGGGAUCUUCGGACCUUGCGCGAUUGAAUGAGCCGAUGACGGAUUAGCUAGUUGGGGGGGUAAAGGCCCACCAAGGCGACGAUCCGUAGCUGGUCUGAGAGGAUGAUCCGCCACACUGGAACGUAGACACCGUCCAGACUCCUACGGGAGGGAGCAGUGGGGAAUGUUGGGCAAUGGGGGCAAGCCUGAUCCAGCGAGCCCGCGUGGGUGAAGAAGGCCUUCGGGUUGUAAAGCCCUUUUGUUGGGAAAGAAAAGCAGUAGGCUAAUACCCCGCUGUUCUGACGGUAACCAAAGAAUAAGCACCGGCUAACUUCGUG
RNAcentral lists this ribosomal RNA (492 nucleotides) under uncultured bacterium. Its description in RNAcentral is "partial 16S ribosomal RNA". It matches the Rfam family "Bacterial small subunit ribosomal RNA", at positions 29 to 507 of the family's 1533-position model. The record is from RNAcentral.